Molecule: long non-coding RNA, 1102 nt
Filed under: Nothobranchius furzeri (turquoise killifish)
Lineage: Eukaryota; Metazoa; Chordata; Actinopteri; Cyprinodontiformes; Nothobranchiidae
Description: lncRNA (ENSNFUG00015000826.1)
Source: RNAcentral
AUGUUACUUCAUGAUGACCUUACAUGUUUUAUUGUCAGGGCCGGAUCUAGACUGGCAGACAGAAUUGUGAAGGGGGCACAUUGUGAUGGAAAGGGGAAAGGUGUGGGUUGGUGGCGGAGGUGCUCUGGAUGUUUUUGUCACACCUCUGCUGGCUUCCUGUACCACAGCACAUCACAUUCAACGUCCUCCAAAACCUGGCACCCCUCCUACCCCUCUGACCUGCUCCAUCCGUCUUCCUCCCCCCCCCACAGGACCAAGGUAUGAACUUGGCGGGGCAGCCGUCUCCAUUGUUGCCCCCACCCGCUGGAACUCACUCCCACAACUGCUCUGAGCUCUCCACCUUCAAAAAUCUGCUCAAGACUCAUUUUCAAAACUUUAAAGAGCAAGUCACCCCCUACCAGAAUAUUAUUCCACCCCCACUUUCUGUUUGAAAAAUGCAACAAAUGCUGUUGCCUAGCAGACCGAGAGGGCGGAGCCGCUAACAAAUACACACAGGCUCACAACGACAUUGUGACAUCAUAUGGUACCAGCUAACGUUCUAGGGUACCUCUUGGCCAAUAGCGAUGGCAGAUUUAAAUUCAAAUGCAGUGUAGUUUUUAUCUGACAACGGCACAACACUGACAGUUUUAGGCAGAAAAUUAAAAUUUUUACUAAAAUGCACUAAAGUGCGAAAACUAUUGACUACACGUGUCUGCAGCACGAUUAGACACACAUUUAGUUUAUCAACAAAAAAAGUUGAUUUGAGGGUGACUUGCUCUUAAAUGUUUUAUUAUGACCCCAGGACACGUCCUAUGGGGUCCCACCUGAAGGCGGAGCUUCUGCUGGUGCAGCUUAUGCUCAGAGGCUUGAAAGCCCUCAGACCACAAUAAAGUGGUAACGCUUCAGGGAUAAAACAGAAAAAUACAUGAUCCUUUAUUGGGUUUUAGUGACUAGAAACAUGUAUGUUAUGUGCUUAUUUUGUUGCAAAUUUGAAAUAAUCUUUUAUUUCUGCACACGACAACAGAGCAGGAAAAGAAUAAACACGGAUAUCCAGCUGUUUGCUUUAAAGUAAAGAGGAAACAUAAAGAAACAAAUAAAGCUAAAUAUAAAAUAUGUCGUAACA